This is a long non-coding RNA of Passer domesticus (house sparrow), 338 nucleotides long. RefSeq lists it as uncharacterized. The record is from RefSeq and is a predicted model, not a curated record. Lineage: Eukaryota; Metazoa; Chordata; Aves; Passeriformes; Passeridae. The transcript is spliced from 3 exons.
GCCAGUGGCCUGAAUCCUCAGCUGAAGAGGCAAAGCGUCUGAAGGAAGCAUGGGUGGGGUUUGGCUCCUUUUUUGUGUUGUGGGGCAGCUCAAGCCUUUUUCCUUUGCAUCUUGCAGGAGGCUCUGGAGAUGUUGCUCUCGGGGGGGCAUCCAACAGCUCAAGGCCAUCCCUUGGCUGAUUAUCAUUACGCAGGCUCUGAUAGAUGGACAGCUGAGGAGAAGGAGGCCUUCCAAAAGGCUUUCCACACCUACGGCAAGGAUUUCCAUCUCAUCCAGAAGCAGAUCCCAAGUAAGACCGUGGCACAGUGUGUGGAGUAUUACUACUGCUGGAAAAAAGA